This 78-nucleotide transfer RNA is filed under the name Microbacterium sp. Its description in RNAcentral is "tRNA-Met". It matches the Rfam family "tRNA". From Rfam's summary of the family: Transfer RNA (tRNA) molecules are approximately 80 nucleotides in length. Their secondary structure includes four short double-helical elements and three loops (D, anti-codon, and T loops). The record is from RNAcentral. Lineage: Bacteria; Bacillati; Actinomycetota; Actinomycetes; Micrococcales; Microbacteriaceae.
GGCGGAGUAGAGCAGCUGGUCAGCUCGCCGGGCUCAUAACCCGUGAGGUCGCAGGUUCGAAUCCUGUCUCCGCUACCA